UCGCCUGUUUUUCAAAAACAUCGUUGGAAAAUUAACUUUCAAUAAAAUCUGCCCAGUGGUAUCUUAACGGCCGCAGUAUUUUAACUGUGCUAAGGUAGCAUAAUCAUUUGCUUUUUAAUUCAAAGCUCGUAUAAACGAUUCGACGAGAAAUUAACUUUCUUUAAAUAAUUAUUAACUUACUUUUAGAGUAAAAAAGCUCUUUCUAUUCAAUUAGACGACAAGACCCUACAAAACUUUACUUAAAAGUGAACAACUUUUUUAUAUCUUUAUAUUCUAUAUUUAAGUUUUACUGGGGCGGUAAAUUUUAAAUUUAUAAACAAACUCUUAAUUAAACAAAUUAUUUGACCUUUAUAAACACUUUACGUAAUUAACACCAAGUUACUUUAGGGAUAACAGCGCAAUAUCUUUUUAGAGCUCCUAUCGACAAAGAUGAUUACGACCUCGAUGUUGAAUUGAAUAACCUAAGUAGAGCAAAAAUUACUAAAGGCAAGUCUGUUCGACUUAUAAAUUUUUACAUGAUUUGAGUCCAAACCGGA
RNAcentral lists this ribosomal RNA (536 nucleotides) under Dynamenopsis varicolor. RNAcentral describes it as "partial 16S ribosomal RNA". It matches the Rfam family "Bacterial large subunit ribosomal RNA", at positions 1796 to 2620 of the family's 2925-position model. The record is from RNAcentral. Lineage: Eukaryota; Metazoa; Arthropoda; Malacostraca; Isopoda; Sphaeromatidae.